UAAAAGUUUUAUUUUAGCUUAAAAAUUAAGUUUAAUUAUGAUUUAUAUGUAAAUAUGUGUGUGAGGAAAUUAAGUUUUAAAUGAAUUUAAUUUUUAUUAUAAGCUCAGUAAAUAAAUUUAAAUAAUUAAGGAAAUUUAGAUUUAGUAAUAAUUAAGAAUAUUAACAAAUAUUGUGCCAGCAGUUGCGGUUAUACAAGUGAUGUAAUUUAAUUUUUUUAGUAAGAAUUAAUUUUAAAAUUAAGUUAAUUUUAUAGUUAAAUUUGUUAGGUGAAAUUUUAAAUUUAAUUAAAAAUUUAUUGUAAUUUAAUGAAGUUAAGAAAUUUAAAUUAUAAACUAGGAUUAGAUACCCUAUUAUUUUAAACGUAAAUUUAUUUCUAGAUUAGUAUUAGUUAUGUUCUUGAAAAUUAAAGAUUUUGGCGGUAUUUUAGUCUAUUCAGAGGAACCUGUUCUGUAAUCGAUAAUCCACGAUUAAAUUUACUUAUUUUUAUAGUUUGUAUAUCGUUGUAGUUUGAAUAUUUUAUAAGAAUAUAAUAUUCAAGAUUUUUUUAAAAAAGAAUAUCAAAUCAAGGUGCAGUUUAUGAAUAAGAAGUAAUGGGUUACAAUAAAUUGAUUUAAAUGGAUUUUAAAUUUAAAAAUUUUAUGAAGGUGGAUUUGAGAGUAAUUUUAUUUAUUUAAUUAAAAUGAUUUUAGCUCUAAAAUAUGUACAUAUUGCCCGUCGCUUUCAUUAUAAAGUGAAAUAAGUCGUAACAAAGUAGGUUUACUGGAAGGUGAGGCUAGAAAGAAA
This 784-nucleotide non-coding RNA is filed under the name Cucujus sp. MJ-2020. The record is from RNAcentral. Lineage: Eukaryota; Metazoa; Arthropoda; Insecta; Coleoptera; Cucujidae.